This 2329-nucleotide long non-coding RNA is filed under the name Triticum aestivum (bread wheat). RNAcentral's name for it is "long non-coding RNA (TAES_LNC013420)". Lineage: Eukaryota; Viridiplantae; Streptophyta; Magnoliopsida; Poales; Poaceae. The record is from RNAcentral.
UCAGAUUGGAUACAUUUAGCACACUGUUAUUACUCCCUCCGUUCCUAAAUAUAAGUCUUUGUAGAGAUUCCACCAUGGACUGCAUACGGAUGUAUAUAGAUGCAUUUUAAGUGUAGAUUCAUCCAUUUUGUUUCGUGUGUGGUCCAUAGUGGAAUCUCGUCAAAACGGAGGGAGUACAAACUAAGGAUCCAGGCGGGCAUCCUGUGAACCCACAUGCAUGUAGAUCAAAAGUCAAUCCUAGGUCGACUUUUACUAUGCUUGCAUACGGGUUCACGCGGACUCGUGCCGUGCUUGCACGGUUGCACCCCUGAUUAAACCAGAUUGAUAGAGAUAGACAACUGCAACAACAAAACAGUAGUAGUAUUCCCGGCCAAAACAAAUACAAACAAAAACAGUAGUAGUAUAAUAACAUGUAUAAGAAAAACUCAACACGCCGUCCCCUUUGGACUGUCAUAGUUCUUCCAGAAAACCAAGAACACCAGUGAUCCGCCAACCAGGGUCGCGGAUUCGCCAACCAGGGUCGCGGUUAGCCGUCUGAUUGACAGUAGCGGCCGUACGCACGGUAGGCAUAAAGGAGACAAGAUGAAGAACAGGUCUUUCAAGGGUAGUAGAGCGCACAAGAAGACGCGACAGUGCACAGGAGCCCUGGGCGCGCAGCGUACGUACAUGAUUCAUGGGAGAAUUAGCUAAGGUGAUUUAUGAAGGCGCUUCAAUCGGGAGUUAAUAGUAGUGGUAUUGCUUCUAGUAGUGGCCGUUGGCGGCGCCUGAGUUGGUGGCGCUGCCGCUCUUGCCGUCGACGACGACCUCGGUCAUGGGCACCUGGUCGGCCUUGCGCUUACGGGCCUCCAGGAUCUGCUGCGUCGACUUGUAGUAGAUGCCGUACAGGAUGAUCUGCCCCACAGCGAACAUCACGCCCAGCCCGUUGGGGAUCUGCAUCCAACAGCAAAGAAUACCAAUUUAACCCACAGCGGAGAGCAACGGAGAACAGAAGUUUGUAACCAGAAAAACAAAACAUAAUCCAAGAAAUGUGUUGGCCUGAGCCAAGGGUCAGCACAGUAGGUGACGCGUUGCAUGCCGUGGCCGCGGACAAAGGGCAACCAGAAUAGCACAUGACGUAAUACCCUGUGUUGUGGUGUACCAUCGGCUACCGUGCAUCAGCGGUCAGGAGCGGACGGAUAGAUCCCAAAUGCACACGCAUUGAUUGGGAGUUGAACGCAGUGCGAUGGCUAUGCGGACGUGGGCGGUGGCAGCAUCCACCUCGCCGCCUUCCUCUCGUGCCAUACACACCACACAAGCUACACCUCACAGGUCGGGAUCAGCGGCUGAGCCCCCCCGAUUUGACGCCUCCAGUUGACAACACGACCUCUCUUUGAACGAAAACCUGUUUUUUUCUCUUGGAAUUUCAACGAAGAAAACAUGUUUUUGCCAUCCCGACACACAUCUGACGCCAACAGUAAUUAUUCAUUCGGACCGGGACAGGCGGACAGGUGUGUGCUGUUAGCGUGACAAUCCCAAAUCCAAACAGGUAGCCGACAACGGAGACGAUCCGGUCCGCAAGGUCAGUCGUGACAACACUGGCUUGACCUUUCGGUCUCACGAUGUCCGCCGAGCCAUGCCACCGUGCAAAAGUAGGACCCGAGGCUUGAAAGCAACGCCGACGCCUGGUCCGAUAUUUCGGCCCAUCGCACGCGCCCGUGGCCAGCCUAAAACUGCAUGCUGCUAGAUGGGCCAUGGAGUCUUGGUCCUACUAAUAACGACUCUACUACCUAGCAACCCAAUCUUAUCUUACCCAAAUGAAAACGGCCCUCCCAGCACAAAAACGUGCAUGUACACCGUAGCUAGUCCCAUGAACGUGCAUGCAGAUCGCAGCAGGGAAGCAAAGAAAGGGCCCCCGUUACUUCUGUCCGCGGGUGGUGCACGCAACUUGUUGUGAGAACGCAAGUCCUAGUUGCAAGGCUGCAUUCAUUUGGGUUGGGUGGUUCGCCUGAACCAAUCCAAAUAUGGUUUGGUACCUAACGAGAUCAGAUGCACCUCCUAAAUUUAUACACCCGGCCCUGCCAUCAUCAACUUGCCUUGGCAGAACUUAGCAAGUCACCCAUGUUAACUUCCGGCGCUGCUUACUUUAAUUAGACGGGCAUUGCCCAGGUUCUGUGCUGGCUACUCAGGGUAGCAAGCGCUCAAGUGGAAGUCAUCCUCAUCUCACACCAGCAAUUAGUAUACUGCUAGCUAAUGGUUACUAUUACUGUGUGUGAAAUUUUAGAAGGCUUACGGUGAUGUAGAGGUCGAACUUGAUGAGGGCGUAGGCAGUCCAGCAGAUGCCAUUGACGAG